UACGUAGGGGGCUAGCGUUGUCCGGAUUUAUUGGGCGUAAAGAGCGUGUAGGCGGCCCGGUAAGUCCGCUGUGAAAGUCGAGGGCUCAACCCUCGAAUGCCGGCGGAUACUGUCGGGCUAGAGUCCGGAAGAGGCGAGUGGAAUUCCUGGUGUAGCGGUGAAAUGCGCAGAUAUCAGGAGGAACACCUACGGCGAAGGCAGCUCGCUGGGACGGUACUGACGCUGAGGCGCGAAAGCGUGGGGAGCGAACAGG
RNAcentral lists this ribosomal RNA (253 nucleotides) under uncultured bacterium. RNAcentral describes it as "partial 16S ribosomal RNA". It matches the Rfam family "Bacterial small subunit ribosomal RNA", at positions 524 to 776 of the family's 1533-position model. The record is from RNAcentral.